Molecule: ribosomal RNA, 406 nt
Filed under: uncultured bacterium
Lineage: Bacteria
Description: partial 16S ribosomal RNA
Rfam family: Bacterial small subunit ribosomal RNA
Source: RNAcentral
AUUGAACGCUGGCGGCAGGCCUAACACAUGCAAGUCGAACGAGUGGCGGACGGGUGAGUAAUGUCUGGGACACUGCCUGAUGGAGGGGGAUAACUACUGGAAACGGUAGCUAAUACCGCAUACCAUCGGAUGUGCCCAGAUGGGAUUAGCUAGUUGGUGGGGUAACGGCUCACCAAGGCGACGAUCCCUAGCUGGUCUGAGAGGAUGACCAGCCGCCCGGGAACUGAGACACGAGCCAGACUCCUACGGGAGGGAGCAGAGGCGAAUAUUGCACAAUGGGCGAAAGCCUGAUGCAGCCAUGCCGCGUGUAUGAAGAAGGCCUUCGGGUUGGAAAGUCCUUUCAGCGGGGAGGCGUUACCCGCAGAAGAAGCACCGGCUAACUCCGUGCCAGCAGCCGCGGUAAUUC